This 253-nucleotide ribosomal RNA is filed under the name uncultured bacterium. RNAcentral's name for it is "partial 16S ribosomal RNA". It matches the Rfam family "Bacterial small subunit ribosomal RNA", at positions 524 to 776 of the family's 1533-position model. The record is from RNAcentral.
UACGGGGGGGGUAAGCGUUGUUCGGAAUUACUGGGCGUAAAGGGCUCGUAGGCGGCCAACUAAGUCGGACGUGAAAUCCCUCAGCUUAACUGGGGAACUGCGUCUGAUACUGGAUGGCUUGGAUUUGGGAGAGGGAUGCGGAAUUCCAGGUGUAGCGGUGAAAUGCGUAGAUAUCUGGAGGAACACCGGUGGCGAAGGCGGCAUCCUGGACCAACAUUGACGCCGAGGAGCGAAAGCCAGGGGAGCAAACGGG